CUAAAAAAGUCGCGUGCUGCGAUGGAUCGGCCGCCGCCUUCGACAAACAACGCCAAUGAGCGGUAGCCGCAAGAAGUUCGGCGGAAGCAGGCCGCCGUCCGGCACGCCGUCCCUCCCCUUGUCCUGCGCCGUCGUCGUCGUCUCUCUCCUCGCCGGUGCCUCCAUCGUCCACAACAUCUACAAACCCGACCUCACUCUGCCGCUGGUGGAUCCUCCCCCACCCGAUGAAUCCAAGGGAAACAACCUCAAGUAGCUUACUCGAUCGUUCAAAUCGCUCUACUCGACUCCUUUCAUCGGAGAAUUUUUCUUGUAAUCAAUAAAAAAAAAUGCAGUUUUUUGGCUGAUGUUAUCUGGAUCUGCCCUCUCUUUGCCAUGGUUAUGGCUAUAGGAUCGAUCGGUGUUCUGUAUCUGCCUCAGCUUUCGACCACUUCAAUGAACUGUUCGUCCAGUCUUCAUAGGCGAGCUUCACUUCUCUGUGUUCUACACCAGUUUCAGGUUUCAUCAUCUUUUCUGUGCAUUCCUUAUUUCAAUUCAACAGUGUGAUAUUUGUAUGAUCUAAUUCACAAUUGGAAACAAUUUCAUGAAAUUUAGAAUUAGAUCAUUUCAAUUUGUCUCAAUCAAAGAUGGAUGACCUAUGAAUUUCAUCAGUUUUUUUUUUGCUUA
Molecule: long non-coding RNA, 663 nt
Organism: Zingiber officinale
Lineage: Eukaryota; Viridiplantae; Streptophyta; Magnoliopsida; Zingiberales; Zingiberaceae
Exons: 3
Source: RefSeq, a predicted model, not a curated record